RNAcentral lists this long non-coding RNA (1856 nucleotides) under Equus caballus (horse). Its description in RNAcentral is "lncRNA (ENSECAG00000059993.1)". The record is from RNAcentral. Lineage: Eukaryota; Metazoa; Chordata; Mammalia; Perissodactyla; Equidae.
UUUUCUUUUACCUCAUACAUUGUGAAUAUGGACAUAGCGAAAAAGGUGAGUCAGAAUCUUCAUUCAUUUAUUCAACAAACACAUACUAAGUGUCUACUCUGAAUCAUACAUCGGUGUAGGAACCAGGAUGCCGGGAGGGCUCUUCAGGUCUUCUGGUCCAGUGGGUCUCACAUUAAAAUCAUCCAGGGAGCUCUUAAAAGCAGUGAUACCCCGUCCCACUCAGCAGAGAUCCUGGUGAAAUUGGUUUGGGAUCGGGCUCGCACACCCGUAGGUUGGAAGAGUUCCCCAGGUGAUGCUAAUGUGUAGCUGGGCUUGAGAACCACUGCAAUCGGGGCUGACCAGUGAAGUGAUUUGCUUCUGAUAACCUGAAAACCCGAAUCCACGUGGGUCUGAUCCUCCACUCUGGGGUUCUUCCGACAAACUCAGAGUUCUCCGUGGCUUUGGCAUCUGUCUGAAUCGAAAGCAAAUUCUUGGAGGAGAUCAAGUCUACUCCUCCUUAAUCCAAAGGGAAUCCAAUUCGCUUCAAAUACAGUGCCAAAAGAACUUCUGUUUUUCGUUUUGUUUUGUUUGGUGAGGAAGAUGGGCCUGAGCUAACGUCUGUGCCAGUCUUUCUGUAUUUUGUAUGUGGGAUGCUGCCACAGCAUGGCUUGAUGAGUGCUGUGUAGGUCCUGCCCAGGAUCCGGGCCUGCGAACCCCGGGCUCCCGAGGCAAAGCACGCAAACUUAACCACUACACCACCAGGCCGGCCCCAAGCACUUCUGGUUUUGAAUUGCCUCUCUCUCAAACUGUUUAUGUGUUUCAUGCCUGGGAACUGCAUUCUUCAGCCAAGUUGGAGAAAUCCCUAUAAAAAUAGUCCCCUUUCCUGAGUGCCUGGUGUAGUUAAGGCACUUGACAUGCAGUUUCAUUUAAUCCCCAGAACCCUCUUACGAGGUGAGUUUUGUUGACACCAGUUUAUAGAUGAGCAAACUGACAUGCAAAGAGGCUAAGGAUUCUAACCUGUGUCUAAGCUGAUACAGCUGGGAUUCCAACCCAAGCAUUCAUGUGCUUCCCCUCACCACCUGUGCCUCCCGCGCUGCCCAGAGCACGGGGCAGCUGGCAGACAGUGGCGUUGUGCCCUGGAUCCACAGAGGAAAGAUGACUCUGUGAAGGAUUGAUAUUCUCCAACGCAGAGCGGAUCGAUGCACGUAAUUCUUGCAGAUUUCCUUUGGCUUUGCGCCGUGAGGGAGGGAGACAGUUGGAAACGUCGUGAUUUUGAGAGGAAGCCGGUGUUUCCUGAAGCCUUUGUUUUGGGUGCGCCUUAACCGCACCUGCGUUUCUUGCAGCUUCUUACAAAGAAACUUCUUUUUUUUUUUUUGAGAGUCAAAAUAGUUGAACUGAAGUUAUUUUCAACCGGAGGGAAAUGUUUGAAAGCUCAGCCUUUGUGAGCCCAAAGAGCAUUGUUUCAUCGACAGUGAUUGAAACAGUCAUUUCCUUUGGGAAGUCUUUGCCAUUGAAGCAAACUUUGAUUUUGGAAGCAAAAGUUUUGGCUUUAAAGAUGGGAUCCAAGUGUUACACCUUCUUCUCAUAGCUCCCCGGCCAUUUAUCGGAGUGCUGUGAUAGUAAGGUUGUUUGCAUUUGAACAGAAAGACCUGCUCUGGCCAGCUGGGCUGAUGCUAAGAGGCAGUAUAGUUCAGUGGUGAGGAGCACAUCCCUUACAGCUGGGCUGCCUGGGUUUGCCUCACUCUGCCACUUGCAAGCUGGAAUCUUCGGCAAAUUACAUAACUGUCCUGAACUUCAGUUUCUGCCUUUAUAAAAUGGGGAUGAAGAUAGUAUUUAUUUCCUAUGAUUUUUUAUAAUUAUUAAUUAACAUAAUAAAA